Non-coding RNA from Pelobates cultripes (western spadefoot toad), 210 nucleotides. The record is from the annotation of a GenBank genome assembly. Lineage: Eukaryota; Metazoa; Chordata; Amphibia; Anura; Pelobatidae.
GAAGAGGAAGAGUUGUGGUCACCAUCACCACCAGAAACAGCCUUAUCAGCAUCGCUUGCUGGACCUGCGGCAACGCUGGAAGAGGAUUGUGAGAAGAGGAGUCAGAGGAGGAAUGUGGCUUUGAGGAGGAGGAGGAAGACCAACCACAACAGGCAUCCCAGGGUGUUCGUUGUCGCCUAUCUGGUACCCGUGGUGUUGUAUGUGGCUGGG